RNAcentral lists this ribosomal RNA (469 nucleotides) under uncultured bacterium. Its description in RNAcentral is "bacterial SSU rRNA". It matches the Rfam family "Bacterial small subunit ribosomal RNA", at positions 27 to 507 of the family's 1533-position model. The record is from RNAcentral.
GGACGAACGCUGGCGGCGUGCUUAACACAUGCAAGUCGAACGGAAAGGCCCAGCUUGCUGGGUACUCGAGUGGCGAACGGGUGAGUAACACGUGGGUGAUCUGCCCCAAACUUCGGGAUAAGCCUGGGAAACUGGGUCUAAUACCGGAUAUGACCUGCUCCUGCAUGGGGGUUGGUGGAAAGCUUUUGCGGUUUGGGAUGGGCCCGCGGCCUAUCAGCUUGUUGGUGGGGGUAAAUGGGCCUACCAAGGCGACGACGGGUAGCCGACCUGAGAGGGUGAUCGGCCACACUGGGACUGAGACACGGCCCAGACUCCUACGGGAGGCAGCAGUGGGAAUAUUGCACAAUGGGCGCAAGCCUGAUGCAGCGACGCCGCGUGAGGGAUGACGGCCUUCGGGUUGUAAACCUCUUUCGCCAGGGACGAAGCGCAAGUGACGGUACCUGGAGAAGAAGCACCGGCCAACUACGUG